RNAcentral lists this ribosomal RNA (540 nucleotides) under Escherichia coli. RNAcentral's name for it is "bacterial SSU rRNA". It matches the Rfam family "Bacterial small subunit ribosomal RNA", at positions 993 to 1533 of the family's 1533-position model. The record is from RNAcentral. Lineage: Bacteria; Pseudomonadati; Pseudomonadota; Gammaproteobacteria; Enterobacterales; Enterobacteriaceae.
GAAGUUUUCAGAGAUGAGAAUGUGCCUUCGGGAACCGUGAGACAGGUGCUGCAUGGCUGUCGUCAGCUCGUGUUGUGAAAUGUUGGGUUAAGUCCCGCAACGAGCGCAACCCUUAUCCUUUGUUGCCAGCGGUUCGGCCGGGAACUCAAAGGAGACUGCCAGUGAUAAACUGGAGGAAGGUGGGGAUGACGUCAAGUCAUCAUGGCCCUUACGACCAGGGCUACACACGUGCUACAAUGGCGCAUACAAAGAGAAGCGACCUCGCGAGAGCAAGCGGACCUCAUAAAGUGCGUCGUAGUCCGGAUUGGAGUCUGCAACUCGACUCCAUGAAGUCGGAAUCGCUAGUAAUCGUGGAUCAGAAUGCCACGGUGAAUACGUUCCCGGGCCUUGUACACACCGCCCGUCACACCAUGGGAGUGGGUUGCAAAAGAAGUAGGUAGCUUAACCUUCGGGAGGGCGCUUACCACUUUGUGAUUCAUGACUGGGGUGAAGUCGUAACAAGGUAACCGUAGGGGAACCUGCGGUUGGAUCACCUCCUUA